CGACGUAGGUAACCUGCCUUGUAGCGGGGGAUAACUAUUGGAAACGAUAGCUAAUACCGCAUAACAAUGGAUGACACAUGUCAUUUAUUUGAAAGGGGCAAUUGCUCCACUACAAGAUGGACCUGCGUUGUAUUAGCUAGUAGGUGAGGUAACGGCUCACCUAGGCGACGAUACAUAGCCGACCUGAGAGGGUGAUCGGCCACACUGGGACUGAGACACGGCCCAG
This 226-nucleotide ribosomal RNA is filed under the name uncultured bacterium. Its description in RNAcentral is "partial 16S ribosomal RNA". It matches the Rfam family "Bacterial small subunit ribosomal RNA", at positions 113 to 334 of the family's 1533-position model. The record is from RNAcentral.